GGCCCCGUCGUCUAGCGGCCCAGGACGCCGCCCUCUCAAGGCGGUAGCGCCGGUUCGAAUCCGGUCGGGGCUA
This is a transfer RNA of Micromonospora nigra, 73 nucleotides long. It matches the Rfam family "tRNA". Rfam says of the family: Transfer RNA (tRNA) molecules are approximately 80 nucleotides in length. Their secondary structure includes four short double-helical elements and three loops (D, anti-codon, and T loops). NCBI's taxonomy places the organism in Bacteria, Bacillati, Actinomycetota, Actinomycetes, Micromonosporales, Micromonosporaceae. The record is from Rfam.